CCUACGGGUGGCUGCAGUGGGGAAUAUUGGACAAUGGGGGGAACCCUGAUCCAGCCAUGCCGCGUGUGUGAAGAAGGCCCUCGGGUUGUAAAGCACUUUCAGUGAGGAAGAACGCCUGGUGGUUAAUACCCAUCAGGAAAGACAUCACUCACAGAAGAAGCACCGGCUCAACUCCGUGCCAGCAGCCGCGGGAAUACGGAGGGUGCGAGCGUUAAUCGGAAUUACUGGGCGUAAGCGCGCGUAGGUGGCUUGAUAAGCCGGUUGUGAAAGCCCCGGGCUCAACCUGGGAACGGCAUCCGGAACUGUCAAGCUAGAGUGCAGGAGAGGAAGGUAGAAUUCCCGGUGUAGCGGUGAAAUGCGUGGAGAUCGGGAGGAAUACCAGUGGCGAAGGCGGCCUUCUGGACUGACACUGACACUGAGGUGCGAAAGCGUGGGUAGCAAACAGGAUUAGAUACCCUUGUAGUC
This 465-nucleotide ribosomal RNA is filed under the name Vreelandella stevensii. Its description in RNAcentral is "partial 16S ribosomal RNA". It matches the Rfam family "Bacterial small subunit ribosomal RNA", at positions 338 to 795 of the family's 1533-position model. The record is from RNAcentral. Lineage: Bacteria; Pseudomonadati; Pseudomonadota; Gammaproteobacteria; Oceanospirillales; Halomonadaceae.